GCUCCGUUCGUCUAGUCCGGACAAGGAUAUCAGGCCUUCACCCUGAAGACUUGGGUUCAAAUCCCAGACGGAGCA
This 75-nucleotide transfer RNA is filed under the name marine sediment metagenome. Its description in RNAcentral is "tRNA-Glu". It matches the Rfam family "tRNA". Rfam says of the family: Transfer RNA (tRNA) molecules are approximately 80 nucleotides in length. Their secondary structure includes four short double-helical elements and three loops (D, anti-codon, and T loops). The record is from RNAcentral.